This 517-nucleotide unclassified non-coding RNA is filed under the name Hevea brasiliensis (rubber tree). The record is from RNAcentral. Lineage: Eukaryota; Viridiplantae; Streptophyta; Magnoliopsida; Malpighiales; Euphorbiaceae.
AUUUAAUGCCGCCGAAUGGAAACAGGACAGAAGGUAGGGAAAUUUUCUAAAGAAAUCAUCUGAGUUGAGAUGAGUGAUACCCAAAGAAGCAAGGAAAUCUUGAAAAAGGGACAAGAUUUCACUUUGGGGGAAGACUUGUUUCAGACAAAUGUAAUUAUGGGGAGAGGACGACUCGGGACUCGAGGUAGCACCAGAAGGGGUCUGAUUAGAGCUCGUCCCAGGCAACAGAUUUACCAAGGCAGGUAGGUGGGUUGUCAUGUAUUGGUAUAGUGGUGACAAAUGUAGUAUUGGUUUUGCUGGGUUUAGAGAUGGUGACAUCAAAGGUGGUAUUGGAAUUGCUGGGGUUGGUAAAGGAAGCAUGACUCUCUAUCAUGAGAGUCUCUUGCUGCACACAAUUUUUGCUCAACUGACCUAUAAUUCCAAAGGAAUAACAAUAAUCAAGUAACCUUAUGAAACGGAAGUGAACUAGAUAAAGAGAUCCAUCUGGUUUUCUGUUUUGAAACCCAGUAGGCAAGGG